Molecule: transfer RNA, 78 nt
Filed under: Alosa alosa (allis shad)
Lineage: Eukaryota; Metazoa; Chordata; Actinopteri; Clupeiformes; Clupeidae
Description: tRNA-OTHER
Rfam family: tRNA
About the family: Transfer RNA (tRNA) molecules are approximately 80 nucleotides in length.
Source: RNAcentral
GCUGUGAUGGCUGAGAGGUUAAGGCGCUGGACUUGGAACCAAUGGGGUUUCCAAGAGGUUCGAACUCUGCUCACAGCG